RNAcentral lists this ribosomal RNA (497 nucleotides) under uncultured bacterium. RNAcentral's name for it is "partial 16S ribosomal RNA". It matches the Rfam family "Bacterial small subunit ribosomal RNA", at positions 28 to 507 of the family's 1533-position model. The record is from RNAcentral.
GAUGAACGCUGGCGGCGUGCCUAAUACAUGCAAGUCGAGCGAACAGACGAGGAGCUUGCUCCUCUGACGUUAGCGGCGGACGGGUGAGUAACACGUGGAUAACCUACCUAUAAGACUGGGAUAACUUCGGGAAACCGGAGCUAAUACCGGAUAAUAUAUUGAACCGCAUGGUUCAAUAGUGAAAGACGGUUUUGCUGUCACUUAUAGAUGGUUCCGCGCCGCAUUAGCUAGUUGGUAAGGUAACGGCUUACCAAGGCAACGAUGCGUAGCCGACCUGAGAGGGUGAUCGGCCACACUGGAACUGAGACACGGUCCAGACUCCUACGGGAGGCAGCAGUAGGGAAUCGUCCGCAAUGGGCGAAAGCUUGACGGAGCAACGCCGCGUGAGUGAUGAAAGUCUUCGGAUCGUAAAACUCUGUUAUUAGGGAAGAACAAAUGUGUAAGUAACUAUGCACGUCUUGACGGUACCUAAUCAGAAAGCCACGGCUAACUACGUG